GAUAGAGAAAGAAAGAUGAUGAAGAAAGGAAAAGGACAAAGACAUGAAAAAGGAAAAAGGUCCAGCGGUUCAGAGUGGCUUAGCGGACCCCGGUUACGGCGCAGUAUUAACGCGAUGAAGCGCAUUAAAGGUGAAGGCAGUCACGGGAACACAGCAACAAGAAGGAAAGAACGGGAAGAAGUGCAGUGAAGGAGGCAAAACUGUAUGUAGUCUGUCUUUGUGGUAAGUGUGGUGAUCAGCAGAAUACAAACUGGUGGUCAGCAGAAUACAAAAUGGUGAUCAGCAGAAUACAAACUGGUGAUCAGCAGAAUACAAACUGGUUGGUGAUCAGCAGAAUACAAAAUAGUGGUCAGCAGAAUACAAACUGGUGGUCAGCAGAAUACAAAAUAGUGGUCAGCAGAAUACAAACUGGUGAUCAGCAGAAUACAAAAUCAUUCACAUUGAAUAGAAAACUACGGAAUCUUCUUAAACUAUUAUAAAAAUCAUGAAGAACAAGAACAAAAACAGAAACAAGAACAUGAAAAAGAUCAACAAGAACAAGA
Long non-coding RNA from Portunus trituberculatus (swimming crab), 542 nucleotides. RefSeq lists it as uncharacterized. The record is from RefSeq and is a predicted model, not a curated record. The transcript is spliced from 3 exons. Lineage: Eukaryota; Metazoa; Arthropoda; Malacostraca; Decapoda; Portunidae.